CCUGCCUGCCCCGCCCACCCUGUUCUUGUCGCCGCUCAGUGUCUGCCUUGCAACUUCCGAGCCGGAAACUUCCAGGCCGGCGUCAAGAGCAGGGCACCCCCUCGGGCUAGAGACGGCGUCCGGAAUAGGAUUCCUCCGCGG
RNAcentral lists this microRNA precursor (141 nucleotides) under Cricetulus griseus (Chinese hamster). RNAcentral's name for it is "miRNA (ENSCGRG00001007891.1)". Lineage: Eukaryota; Metazoa; Chordata; Mammalia; Rodentia; Cricetidae. The record is from RNAcentral.